AACAACAUUGUAUUGUAUAAUCCAUAGAUCCCAUUUAAACCAAUCUAAAAGGUUAAACGGUGGAUAUGAUUUACUUAGCAAGGAGACAACGCAGUAAGAACUUUCAGAAACAACAAAACGAUAAAAAAAAAUAAAAAAUCAGGAUAACAAAUAAUCUUUGUUUGGUCUAAAACGAAAUGAAUUUUU
RNAcentral lists this small RNA (186 nucleotides) under Arabidopsis thaliana (thale cress). RNAcentral describes it as "ATSL172990". The record is from RNAcentral. Lineage: Eukaryota; Viridiplantae; Streptophyta; Magnoliopsida; Brassicales; Brassicaceae.